GCGGCUGAGCGCCUCGGGAGCCCGCGGGGGAGGCUGCGGCGGGGGGCCCCGGGCUGAGGAGGCGGCGUCGGCGGCGGAGGCGGCUGCGACGGGACGUGGGCUGCGGCGGGCCCGCGGCGUCGGCCGGUGCGGAUGUCGUCGGGCUGGGCGGACGAGCGCGGCGGCGAGGGCGACGGGCGCAUCUACGUGGGCAACCUUCCGUCCGACGUGCGCGAGAAGGACCUCGAGGACUUGUUCUACAAGUACGGCCGCAUCCGCGAGAUCGAGCUCAAGAACCGGCACGGCCUCGUGCCCUUCGCCUUCGUGCGCUUCGAGGACCCGCGAGAUGCUGAGGAUGCGAUCUAUGGAAGAAACGGUUACGAUUAUGGCCAGUGUCGACUCCGUGUGGAGUUCCCCAGGACUUACGGAGGUCGGGGUGGGUGGCCCCGUGGUGCAAGGAACGGGCCUCCUACAAGACGGUCAGAUUUCCGAGUUCUUGUUUCAGAAAACUAUUAGGAAAUGGCUGCAGUCCCGAGCUGUGCGCAGCAAACACAGCCUUUGAGAGCAGGAGCACAUUUCCCUUUCAUGACACCAGGACUUCCUCCAUCAGGCAGCUGGCAGGACCUGAAAGAUCACAUGCGAGAAGCUGGGGAUGUCUGUUAUGCAGACGUACAGAAGGACGGAAUGGGGAUGGUUGAAUAUUUGAGAAAAGAGGACAUGGAAUAUGCUCUGCGUAAACUGGAUGACACCAAAUUCCGCUCUCACGAGGGUGAGACUUCCUACAUCCGAGUGUAUCCUGAGAGAAGCACCAGCUAUGGCUACUCACGGUCGCGGUCUGGGUCCAGGGGCCGCGACUCGCCAUACCAAAGCCGGGGCUCGCCACACUACUUCUCUCCUUUCAGGCCCUACUGAGGGGGUGGGAAGGAAGGGUCUCUUCAGUUUUUUAGAUGAGCUGGGCUACUUUGUGCUCAGAGUCUACAUUCCAGAUUGAUUAGAGUCUUAGGACAUUUUUUUUCUUUUCUUUCCUUUUAUUUUUAUUUUAUUUUAUUUUUUUUAUUUUAAGGAACUACAUAAUUUCGGCUAGAGCCACCAUACUAGCAGUGACCUGUUAGGCUGCAGAGAGAAGGUGUGUCUGUGGUUCAGGAACAAGCUGUACAUUUUUCACCCUGACUAUGGGACGGAAAUCAGUGCUGCAUCUUCAUGGGCUGCUCUGCUCGGAGAUGGGGCCCGAGGGGCCCGUUUUGUUCAGAAAUAUAUUUUAAAUGUUUAGUAA
Mus musculus (house mouse) is the source of this 1252-nucleotide RNA transcript. It is a transcript of the gene named serine and arginine-rich splicing factor 9, with no coding region annotated. The record is from RefSeq and is marked reviewed. NCBI's taxonomy places the organism in Eukaryota, Metazoa, Chordata, Mammalia, Rodentia, Muridae. The transcript has 5 exons.